GAUGAACGCUAGCUACAGGCUUAACACAUGCAAGUCGAGCGGCAGCGGGAAGUAACUUGUUACUUUGCCGGCGAGCGGCGGACGGGUGAGUAAUGGCUGGGAACCUGCCCUAACGAGGGGGAUAACAGUUGGAAACGACUGCUAAUACCGCAUAAUGUCUUCGGACCAAAGAAGGGGAUCUUCGGACCUUUCGCGUUGGGAUGAACCCAGGUGGGAUUAGCUAGUUGGUGAGGUAAUGGCUCACCAAGGCGACGAUCCCUAGCUGGUCUGAGAGGAUGAUCAGCCACACUGGAACUGAGACACGGUCCAGACUCCUACGGGAGGCAGCAGUGGGGAAUAUUGCACAAUGGGGGAAACCCUGAUGCAGCCAUGCCGCGUGUGUGAAGAAGGCCUUCGGGUUGUAAAGCACUUUCAGCGAGGAGGAAAGGUUGGUAGCUAAUAACUGCCAGCUGUGACGUUACUCGCAGAAGAAGCACCGGCUAACUCCGUGC
This 491-nucleotide ribosomal RNA is filed under the name uncultured bacterium. RNAcentral describes it as "bacterial SSU rRNA". It matches the Rfam family "Bacterial small subunit ribosomal RNA", at positions 28 to 508 of the family's 1533-position model. The record is from RNAcentral.